ACUCAAAGGAAUUGACGGGGACCCGCACAAGCGGUGGAGUAUGUGGUUUAAUUCGACGCAACGCGAAAAACCUUACCUAGGCUCGAACGACUAGAAGUAGAAUCUAGGAAACUAGAGACGACCUGUAAAAUCAGGAGCUAGCCGAGGUGCUGCAUGGUUGUCGUCAGCUCGUGUCGUGAGAUGUUGGGUUAAGUCCCGCAACGAGCGCAACCCCCAUCCUGUGUUGCUAAUCCGAAAGGAUGCACUCUCAGGAAACUGCCCACGAUGAGUGGGAGGAAGGUGGGGACGACGUCAAAUCCCCAUGGCCCUUAUGUCUAGGGCUACACACGUACUACAAUGGCGCAUACAGAGGGCUGCAAUACCGCAAGGUGGAGCCAAUCCCUAAAGUGCGCCCCAGUUCAGAUUGUGGGCUGCAAUUCGUCCACAUGAAGGUGGAAUCGCUAGUAAUCGCGAAUCAGAAGGUCGCGGUGAAUACGUUCCCGGGUCUUGCACACACCGCCCGU
RNAcentral lists this ribosomal RNA (503 nucleotides) under uncultured bacterium. Its description in RNAcentral is "partial 16S ribosomal RNA". It matches the Rfam family "Bacterial small subunit ribosomal RNA", at positions 899 to 1397 of the family's 1533-position model. The record is from RNAcentral.